AUUGAACGCUGGCGGCAUGCCUUACACAUGCAAGUCGAACGGCAGCACGGGAGCAAUCCUGGUGGCGAGUGGCGAACGGGUGAGUAACAUAUCGGAACGUGCCCAGUAGUGGGGGAUAGCCCGGCGAAAGCCGGAUUAAUACCGCAUACGACCUACGGGUGAAAGCGGGGGAUCGCAAGACCUCGCGCUAUUUGGAGCGGCCGAUAUCAGAUUAGCUUGUUGGUGGGGUAAAAGCCUACCAAGGCGACGAUCUGUAGCUGGUCUGAGAGGACGACCAGCCACACUGGGACUGAGACACGGCCCAGACUCCUACGGGAGGCAGCAGUGGGAAUUUGGACAAUGGGCG
This 346-nucleotide ribosomal RNA is filed under the name uncultured bacterium. Its description in RNAcentral is "bacterial SSU rRNA". It matches the Rfam family "Bacterial small subunit ribosomal RNA", at positions 30 to 377 of the family's 1533-position model. The record is from RNAcentral.